This 299-nucleotide long non-coding RNA is filed under the name Brassica napus (rape). RNAcentral describes it as "long non-coding RNA (BNAP_LNC013698)". Lineage: Eukaryota; Viridiplantae; Streptophyta; Magnoliopsida; Brassicales; Brassicaceae. The record is from RNAcentral.
UUGAUUGUUCAAUCAUAGCAGUUUUGAUAUCUUUAGCAGUAGCAAAGAGGUUGAGUUUACUUACCUGGUGUUGAGAUGAGUUGAGACAUGUGAAGUAAAGACACAAAAGAGUUGAGAACAUAAGGAGAGCAAAAGGGUUAAGAGGCUGAAUAAGGUGAAGGGGAUGGUACGGAUGGAGAGGCCGUACCAGGCCGUACAAAUGACCAGGCCGUACAAGGUGAAAGCGGUCAAGUAACUAUCCAAGUAACUCUGAUGUACUGAGGAGAAGUUACACUCGGCCAAGACCUUAUCCGAACGUU